RNAcentral lists this long non-coding RNA (2223 nucleotides) under Oncorhynchus mykiss (rainbow trout). Its description in RNAcentral is "lncRNA (ENSOMYG00000069377.1)". Lineage: Eukaryota; Metazoa; Chordata; Actinopteri; Salmoniformes; Salmonidae. The record is from RNAcentral.
UUGAAUAUCUGCCUGGUCCAGUUUCCCAUAUCCAUCGUGUGAUCGCCAAGGCAGCGAACCCAUGGCGGACUCGGUGGAGACGUUCCAGACCCAUCUAACCUCAGUCAUGGACAGUUUGAUCCGCGCAUCGGUGUGCGAGAUCACCAAACUGUUCCAGGACACGGUGAAUGACUAUCUGGUGGAAAUAUCGCUGAACAGGAAGGAAAUGGACGCUCUAAAACUCCGACUCCGACUGACGGAGAACAAACUGAGAAAUGAACGCAAGUACGGGAUGGGGUGGGCAGAGAAUCGCCGCAAUGCUGGUUUGAUAGUGUCUGAGGACGGUGGGCGGAAAAAGCGGAAAAUUGAAGUGCCUCGAGGAAAGCAGACGCUGGGCCUUGCCUUGGGAGGCGCGGGGGAGGAGGAAGGAGGAGCAGCCAGGGUAGUAAUGGGGGGAGGGUGGAAGGAGGCACGCGAGCUGUACCUCAUUCAGUUCCCCGGGGAGGAAGGAGAACUGGAGGAGGAGGGGGGCUGUGUUUCAGGAGAGGGGGAGGAGACGGACAACAUCAAAGAGGAGGUGAGGGAGAUGAGUCUGAAUAUGUCCUACACAACGUCACUGCAUCAGAGACCACUAUACUGAACACAAAUCUAACGCAACAUGUAACAUUUUCAAAGAUUUUACUGUCUUACAGUUCAUAUAAGUAAAACCGGUCAAUUGAAAUGCAUUCAUUAGGCCCUAAUCUAUGGAUUUCACAUGACUGGGAAUGCAGAUAUGCAUUUGUUGGUCACAGAUAACUUUAAAAAUAAAAAAGUUGGGUGUGGAUCAGAACCAGUCAGUAUCUGGUGUGGCCACCAUUUGCCUCAUCCAGCACAACGCAUCUCCUCAGAGUUGAUCAGGCUGUUGAUUGUGACCUGUGGAUUGUUGCACCACUCGUCUUCAAUUGCUGUGUGACGUUGCUGGAUAUUGGCGGUAACUGGAACACGAUGUCAUACACGUUGAUCCAGAGCAUCCCAAACAUGCUCAAUGCUGACAUGUCUGGUAAGUAUGCAGGUCAUGGAUGAACUGGGAAAUGUUCAGCUUCCUGGAAUUAUGUACAGAUCCUUGCAACAUGCGGCUGUGCAUUAUCAUGCUGAAAUAUGAGGUGGUGGAUGAAUGGCCUCAGGAUCUCGUCACUCUAUCUCUGUGCAAUCCAAAUUGCCAUCAAUAAAAUGCGGUUGUGUUCGUUGUCUGUAGCUUAUACCUGCCCAUACCAUAACCCCACCGCCACCAUGGGGCACUGUUAACAACGUUGACAUCUGAAAACCACUCUCCCACAUGACCCCAUACACGUGGCCUGCGGUUGUGAGGCCGGUUGGACGUACUAACAAAUUCUCUAAAACUACGUGGGAGUUGGCUUAUGGGAGAGAAAUGAACAUUCAAUUCUCUGGCAAUAGCUCUGGUGGACAUUCCUGCAGUCAGCAUGCUCCCUCAACUUGAGACAUCUGUGGCAUUGUUGUGACAACGGCAUAUUUUAUUGGCCUUUUAUUGUCCUCAGCACAAGGUACACCUGUGUAAUGGUCAUGCUGUUUAAUCAGCUUCUUGAUAUGCCACACCUGUCAGCUGGAUGGAUUAUCUUGCCAGAAGAGAAAUGCUCACGAACAGGGAGAACGUUUUGUUUUGUGCGUAUAUGGAACAUUACUGGGAUCUUUUAUUUCAGCUCAUGAAACAUGGGACCGACACUUUACAUGUUGCAUUUUAUAUUUUUGUUCAGUGAAGUUUGUAAAAAUAACAAUGUUCUCAGUCUCACCACAUGCUGAUACAAUGUUCAUCUGCUGUGGUUGUGUGAGAUGGCGUGGAUGUUGGAAAGACACUGAUUUGAUAUUCAGGUGCAGAAGUGCUUGUUCAGAAAGUGCACUCAAGUGUAGAACGUUGUAGACCCUAAACAUGAAUAUAAUUUUAGGGCGGAGCAGCUGUGUAUUCUACCAGGUGACUUAAAGAAUACAAUUGUCUUCAUGUCAUCUUAAACUGUCUAAACAUUGUACGUUUGCAGAAAAUGCCCAGUGUAAAACUUGAACAGUGUUCUUUGGGGUACUUGCAAAGUGCACUUUCAUAAGUAUUUACAUGAAAUGCUGGGGGUGCUAGUGAACUCUGCAUUGCAUUAAUGUUACUGUAUUGUAGUCUAUUGUGGGUAAUGUAGUUAGUUUUGCUCUGUCUGUAGUCCAGUGACGUGGUGGAGGGGGGCUACCAGCCUGCGUCUCUGCGGC